This 357-nucleotide long non-coding RNA is filed under the name Homo sapiens (human). RNAcentral describes it as "non-protein coding lnc-C8orf34-1:9". Lineage: Eukaryota; Metazoa; Chordata; Mammalia; Primates; Hominidae. The record is from RNAcentral.
AGGGUGGUGUACUGGAGCCAGGCCCUUUCUGCCUAAGCAGGACACUCAAAGAGGCAGUCUUUGCCCUGCAGCCCUCCACUGGCCCAGCCAACACUCUCUCAGAGCUUAGACAUCUGCUUCUCAGAGCACCCAAACUGACAGGGUGUAUCCAGUAUAUUUGAUUCUGAAGCUAGAGAGACCCAGCUGGCCAUACACAUUGGGGAAUCAUUGACAGAUGGCAGCUGAGAUCUGAGAGCGGUUGACCUCACUUCACAAGGUUGAGUGGAAUUAGGAGGGACAAACUUCUGUGACAGGAGCCUGAGGAGCACCAAACAACUUGCAACUUAUGUUUCCCUUUUAAUCACAAAGCUGAAGAAU